This 509-nucleotide ribosomal RNA is filed under the name uncultured beta proteobacterium. Its description in RNAcentral is "bacterial SSU rRNA". It matches the Rfam family "Bacterial small subunit ribosomal RNA", at positions 46 to 550 of the family's 1533-position model. Lineage: Bacteria; Pseudomonadati; Pseudomonadota; Betaproteobacteria. The record is from RNAcentral.
GCCUUACACAUGCAAGUCGAACGGUAACAGGUCUUCGGGAUGCUGACGAGUGGCGAACGGGUGAGUAAUGUAUCGGAACGUGCCCAGUCGUGGGGGAUAACUGCUCGAAAGAGCAGCUAAUACCGCAUACGACCUGAGGGUGAAAGCGGGGGACCGUAAGGCCUCGCGCGAUUGGAGCGGCCGAUAUCAGAUUAGGUAGUUGGUGAGGUAAAGGCUCACCAAGCCGACGAUCUGUAGCUGGUCUGAGAGGACGACCAGCCACACUGGGACUGAGACACGGCCCAGACUCCUACGGGAGGCAGCAGUGGGGAAUUUUGGACAAUGGACGCAAGUCUGAUCCAGCCAUGCCGCGUGCGGUAAGAAGGCCUUCGGUUUGUAAUUUUCUUUUGUCAGGGAAGAAAAGGUUCCUUCUAAUAAAGGGGACUCAUGGCGGUACCUGAAGAAUAAGCACCGGGCUAACUACGUGCCAGCAGCCGCGGUAAUACGUAGGGUGCAAGCGUUAAUCGGCA